GUGCUUGCUUCCACAGCACAUAUGCUAAAACUGGAACAGUGCAGAGAUUAGCAUGGCCCCUGUGCAAGGAUGACACGCAAAUUCGUGAAGUGUUCCUUAUUUAA
Small nuclear RNA from Eptesicus fuscus (big brown bat), 104 nucleotides. Lineage: Eukaryota; Metazoa; Chordata; Mammalia; Chiroptera; Vespertilionidae. The record is from RefSeq and is a predicted model, not a curated record.